ACAGAGACCAGCUGGGACCCCAAAACAUCCCCGGGAACACGGGAACAGAGACCAGCUGGGACCCCAAAACAUCCUCAGGAACGGUGCCCAGCUGGAGCCACACCUGGGAUCCCAUCCCAACAUCCAUGGACACAUUGGAGCAGUGCUCACCUGAACUAAAGGAAUCUCUUCUCCCUGCUCGUGAGACCUCAUCUGUGCAGUCACACUGACCACAUCCACCCAGGAAGUCGGACAUCCUGGCACAGGUACCCACUCCCCAGCCACUGCUGUGCAGAUGAUGCCGAGCAAAGUUGUGACAGAGCUCGGCCGCAGAGAGCAGCAAAUCCGAGAGGGACAAACCUGAGCGAAUGAGAAUCCGGCUCCCCGAAGAGACAUCACCUUAUAUGGGAACAGCACGGACAGGAGCAUGAACGGCCCGGCCGGGCUGCUGAGACUGAGCCCGGGAUUUGGAGGCCGGACCUUGAGAGCUCUGCAGGUUUCCAGCCCCAGCUCCUGUGUGUGCAGUGUCAGUGUGGCCUCACACCUCUCCUGCCCCUGGGCCAGAUGCACACAGCUGGCUCAGAACACGCCGGGCAGCUGCAGCUCUGUGUGACAAGACAGUUGUCUAGGCACUUGUCACAGACUCUGACAGGAGAGGAUGAUGUUAGCAGCUCAGUGAGUACCAGUGUGAAGGAAGUGGCCCACAAAAGCAACAGGAUCUGGGUUACAGCAGAAUACACUGUACCAAUGCAG
Long non-coding RNA from Melospiza melodia melodia, 732 nucleotides. RefSeq lists it as uncharacterized. The transcript is spliced from 5 exons. The record is from RefSeq and is a predicted model, not a curated record. NCBI's taxonomy places the organism in Eukaryota, Metazoa, Chordata, Aves, Passeriformes, Passerellidae.